GACGAACGCUGGCGGCGUGCUUAACACAUGCAAGUCGAACGGAAAGGCCCUGCUUUUGUGGGGUGCUCGAGUGGCGAACGGGUGAGUAACACGUGUGUAACCUGCCCUUGACUUUGGGAUAACUUCAGGAAACUGGGGCUAAUACCGGAUAGGAGCUCCUGCUGCAUGGUGGGGGUUGGAAAGUUUCGGCGGUUGGGGAUGGACUCGCGGCUUAUCAGCUUGUUGGUGGGGUAGUGGCUUACCAAGGCUUUGACGGGUAGCCGGCCUGAGAGGGUGACCGGCCACAUUGGGACUGAGAUACGGCCCAGACUCCUACGGGAGGCAGCAGUGGGGAAUAUUGCACAAUGGGCGGAAGCCUGAGGCAGCAACGCCGCGUGCGGGAUGACGGCCUUCGGGUUGUAAACCGCUUUCGCCUGUGACGAAGCGUGAGUGACGGUAAUGGGUAAAGAAGCACCGGCUAACUACGUG
This 468-nucleotide ribosomal RNA is filed under the name uncultured bacterium. RNAcentral describes it as "partial 16S ribosomal RNA". It matches the Rfam family "Bacterial small subunit ribosomal RNA", at positions 28 to 507 of the family's 1533-position model. The record is from RNAcentral.